Long non-coding RNA from Carassius gibelio (silver crucian carp), 2380 nucleotides. RefSeq lists it as uncharacterized. The record is from RefSeq and is a predicted model, not a curated record. Lineage: Eukaryota; Metazoa; Chordata; Actinopteri; Cypriniformes; Cyprinidae. The transcript has 2 exons.
GGUGCUGGUAAUAUAAUUAAAAUAUCAUCAAAAAGUUGAUUUAUUUCAGUAAUUCCAUUCAAAAAGUGAAACUUGUAUAUUAUAUUCAUUCAUUACACACAGACUGAUAUAUUUCAAAUGUUUAUUUCUUUUAAUUUUGAUUAUUAUAACUGACAACUAAGGAAAAUCCCAAAUUCAGUAUCUCAGAAAAUUAGAAUAUUACUUAAAACCAAUACAAAGAAAGGAUUUUUAGAAAUCUUGGCCAAAUGAAAAGUAUGAACAUGAAAAUUAUGAGCAUGUAAAGCACUCAGUACUUAGUUGGGGCUCCUUUUGCCUGCAUUUUUGCAGCAAUGCGGCGUGGCAUGGAGUCGGUCUGUCUGUGGCAAUGCUCAGUUGUUAUGAGAGCCCAGGUUGCUCUGUAGUGAUGGGUCGUUCGCGAAAGCCGACUCUAAGAGCCGGCUCUUGUAGGUGAACGACGGGAGCUGGCUCGCAUAUCUGAAGAGCCGACUCCAUUUAAAAAAAUAUAUAUAUAUUGCCUAUAGAAAUUAAAUCAUUAUGUAAUAAUGAAAUAAUGGAUGCAUUUUAUUUUAUUUAAAAUAAUUGACUAAUUCAAAGAACAAAAAAUAUAUAUUUCAACUGUCUGAUCAGCCUCACAUUCUGUUCCUGUCAAUCAUACACGAGGUUUCAACCAAUUAUACGGCAUGAGGGAGGGGCCGAGUCAUCACACACACACACACACACACACACACACACCACACACAGUGUCAAACUCAGAGGAGAGGAGAGGAAAAACACAACAGCUUUUGAAAACAAAACAAAAGCAGGAAAAUGAGUCGGAAGCACAGCCGAAUUUGGAAUCAUUGUAAUGAUCAUCAGCCCCUCGAAAGUAAGGCAGCUUGCAUUUCUGAAUGCAUAUUUCUCAUAAAAUAAAAAUAUGAUCAGCAUUGUGUGUGUAUGUGUUCAUGCUAGUUAUACAAAACUGAGAUAGUCUAUGCUGACUAUAUAACACGCCAAAAAAGAGGGACCAGUUUAAUCCUUUCAGUUAUUUAUUUUUCUUUAAUAUGGAUUCUAUUAUGUUUUUCAGAUUCAGAUUGUAUUUGUUUUGUAAUGUUGUUUCUAUACAUUCAAAAGUUGUAAUUUAAAUGCAAAUGUUUAAUAGUAUUCUUUUUUCAUAACAAAUCAAUGCAUUUUUAAAGAAAUUGUGAGUAUGAUUUAAUUUAAUAAUUUAAUUAGAGUAGUUUUCACACCAAUCAUAGUCAAAACAUUAUUGUUUUUUAAAGAGCCGUUUGUGAGCCAAAAGAGCCGGCUCUUUUCAGUGAGCUGAGUCAAACGAGCCGGCUCACGAAAAAGACCCGAAAUGCCCAUCACUAUUGCUCUGAUAGUGGCCUUCAGCUCUUCUGCAUUCAACCAGGGGCGGGUCUACGUGGUGGCGGUGCCCCCCCUGAAAUUCGAUUGGCCACCCCAGGUGCCCCCCCUAUAAGAUGUCUUGUGAUUGGUUCAUUCUAUGGCCAAUCAUUUUAUAGAAUCUACUGAAGUUAGCGAUUCAAAGAAGUGCAGCGUCGACAGAAGGUGCGUUCCGUUCGACCGUAAGUGUACUGCGAAGUGGACUUCACAGGGUAUUCCGCCAUCUUAAGUGAGAUUCCAAUCGGAAGGGAGCGAACAUGUUCAGUUCGAAGGGCACUACGCACGGCACAGGGAAUAAGGGAACAUCGAUACAUCACUUCACAGGAAGUGGAGAGCGAUUAUCCCCCAACUGUCAUUGCGCGAAGCACGUCAUUACCAGUCAGAACGGCCGUCUUCGCUGACUUCAUUCAUAUUCAUUACGGAUUGUAAAAAGGGCGUACCAAAUGAGCAGUUAUUGCCAGUGAAGUCCACUUCAACUGAUAUACCGUGCUCAGGGAGUAGGGAGCAGUGAACACUGCGUAGGGACCCUGUCGAAUGGAACGCACCUAGAGACACUAAUGAUGGGAAGUUUGGAUCAUUAUACUGACCCUGACUUUUGAGUCACGUUCAGCAAAAUGAACGAAUCUUUUUUUGAGUAAUUUCGUUCAUUUUAGCAAAAUGUAAUUAAAAUGUUACGUGUUUCUUCCCCAACACAUCUAGUAACGUUACUUAAGCAAACGUUGAUCACACUACAAACAAUACAAAACUAAAAUGCUAUAAAGAUACAGAAAAGAUUAAUUAAUUAUUUACCUGGGUCUUCAGUCUGUGAUUAACUCACCUCUUGUCUGACAAGUCUUCAGCUUCAAAUCAUUCCUUAAUCACAUGACAGAUCCAUGCGCUAUUUCUGACAUUUCUGACAUUUGUCACUGUUUUUGUUACUGUUUCUUCUGGAUCUGUGGUGUUAUUAUUUUAUGAAUAAAUAAAACCUUGUUAUAAAUAAAAUAUUGAUUAAUUUGUC